Molecule: ribosomal RNA, 423 nt
Filed under: uncultured bacterium
Lineage: Bacteria
Description: bacterial SSU rRNA
Rfam family: Bacterial small subunit ribosomal RNA
Source: RNAcentral
AAGACCUUGCGCUUUUGGAGCGGCCGAUGCCUGAUUAGCUUGUUGGUAAGGUAAAAGCUUACCAAGGCUUCGAUCAGUAGCUGGUCUGAGAGGACGACCAGCCACACUGGGACUGAGACACGGCCCAGACUCCUACGGGAGGCAGCAGUGGGGAAUUUUGGACAAUGGGGGCAACCCUGAUCCAGCCAUGCCGCGUGAGUGAAGAAGGCCUUCGGGUUGUAAAGCUCUUUCAGCCGGAACGAAACGGUUACGGUUAAUACCCGUGACUACUGACGGUACCGGAUGAAGAAGCACCGGCUAACUACGUGCCAGCAGCCGCGGUAAUACGUAGGGUGCGAGCGUUAAUCGGAAUUACUGGGCGUAAAGCGUGCGCAGGUGGUUUUGUAAGUCAGAUGUGAAAGCCCCGGGCUCAACCUGGGAACU